RNAcentral lists this ribosomal RNA (448 nucleotides) under uncultured organism. RNAcentral describes it as "partial 16S ribosomal RNA". It matches the Rfam family "Bacterial small subunit ribosomal RNA", at positions 333 to 797 of the family's 1533-position model. The record is from RNAcentral.
ACACUCCUACGGGAGGCAGCAGUGGGGAAUAUUGGACAAUGGGCGCAAGCCUGAUCCAGCCAUGCCGCGUGAGUGAUGAAGGCCCUAGGGUUGUAAAGCUCUUUCACCGGUGAAGAUAAUGACGGUAACCGGAGAAGAAGCCCCGGCUAACUUCGUGCCAGCAGCCGCGGUAAUACGAAGGGGGCUAGCGUUGUUCGGAUUUACUGGGCGUAAAGCGCACGUAGGCGGACUAUUAAGUCAGGGGUGAAAUCCCGGGGCUCAACCCCGGAACUGCCUUUGAUACUGGUAGUCUUGAGUUCGAGAGAGGUGAGUGGAAUUCCGAGUGUAGAGGUGAGAUUCGUAGAUAUUCGGAGGAACACCAGUGGCGAAGGCGGCUCACUGGCUCGAUACUGACGCUGAGGUGCGAAAGCGUGGGGAGCAAACAGGAUUAGAAACCCUUGUAGUCCCA